CAGUAGCCGCGGUAAUACAGAGGGUGCGAGCGUUAAUCGGAUUUACUGGGCGUAAAGCGUGCGUAGGCGGCUUCUUAAGUCGGAUGUGAAAUCCCCGAGCUUAACUUGGGAAUUGCAUUCGAUACUGGUUAGCUAGAGUGUGGGAGAGGAUGGUAGAAUUCCAGGUGUAGCGGUGAAAUGCGUAGAGAUCUGGAGGAAUACCGAUGGCGAAGGCAGCCAUCUGGCCUAAUACUGACGCUGAGGUACGAAAGCAUGGGGAGCAAACAGGAUUAGAUACCCCUGUAGUCCCUGUCUCUUAUAC
RNAcentral lists this ribosomal RNA (301 nucleotides) under uncultured bacterium. Its description in RNAcentral is "partial 16S ribosomal RNA". It matches the Rfam family "Bacterial small subunit ribosomal RNA", at positions 509 to 807 of the family's 1533-position model. The record is from RNAcentral.